Molecule: long non-coding RNA, 1049 nt
Organism: Colossoma macropomum (tambaqui)
Lineage: Eukaryota; Metazoa; Chordata; Actinopteri; Characiformes; Serrasalmidae
Exons: 5
Source: RefSeq, a predicted model, not a curated record
CUGGACCUGAGUUACAAUAAUCUGCUGGAUUCAGGAGUGAAGCUGCUCUCUGCUGGACUGGAGAAUCUACACUGUAAACUGGAGAUACUGAAGCUGUGUGAGUGUAAUCUCACAGAGAAAAGCUGUGCAGCUCUGUCCUCAGCUCUCAGUUCAAACUCUUCCAAUCUGAAAGAACUGAACCUGAGCAAGAAUGAACUGCAGGAUUCAGGAGUGAAGCUGCUCUCUCCUGGACUGGAGAAUCCACACUGUAAACUGGAGAAACUGGAGUAAGAUCAUCACUUUAUCAAUGCUGUGUGAGUGUAAUCUCACAGAGAAAAGCUGUGCAGCUCUGUCCUCAGCUCUCAGCUCAAUCUCCUCUGGUCUAAGGGAACUGAACCUGAAUUAUAAUGAACUGCAGGAUGCAGGAGUGAAGCUGCUCUGUGCCUGACUGAAGAAUCCACACUGUAAACUGGAGAUACUGAAACUGUCCAACUGCAGUGUUACAGAGGAAGGCUGUGCUGCUCUGGUUUUAGCACUGAAAUCAAAUCCCUCACUCAUUAAAAAGCUGAACCUGAACUGCAAUAAUCCAGGAGAGUCAGAAUUGAAGCUGCUCUCUGAUCUGCAGGUGGAUCCACUCUGUAAACUGGAGAAACUACACAUCUGAAUACACACCUGACCUGCUAUGAGUCUCUCACAAAUGAGGGGUUUACAACAAGAGAUGCUGUAUGUGAUUCUCCAUGUAUCAGUAUGUGUGUGUGGGUUUUUACUGGUCAAACCUAUGAACACAGCUGCAGCACAGAGCUGUGUGUUCUCCCUCUGACAUCACAUCCUGUUUACCAGUGACUGCUCCUCCAGUGUCCUGUCCUUCACACUCCUCCACCAGUGAGCCCUCACUGGUGAUGAGAGCAUGUACAGGAGGAGGAGAAGAGCCUGGUGUUCUAAUAACAACAUAUGGACAGCACUCAUGUAACUGGUGGACAUUGAUACAAUAACUACUGAUUGACAAAGAAACUGUGUGAUGUUUUUGUCAUGAGGUUUUUAUUCUUAUGAAAUAAAUAAUAUAGCCUUUU